AACGAACGCUGGCGGCAUGCCUAACACAUGCAAGUCGAACGAAGCCUUCGGGCUUAGUGGCGCACGGGUGCGUAACGCGUGGGAAUCUGCCCUUUGGUUCGGAAUAACAGUUGGAAACGACUGCUAAUACCGGAUGAUGACGAAAGUCCAAAGAUUUAUCGCCAGAGGAUGAGCCCGCGUAGGAUUAGCUAGUUGGUGUGGUAAAGGCGCACCAAGGCGACGAUCCUUAGCUGGUCUGAGAGGAUGUUCAGCCACACUGGGACUGAGACACGGCCCAGACUCCUACGGGAGGCAGCAGUGGGGAAUAUUGGACAAUGGGCGAAAGCCUGAUCCAACAAUGCCGCGUGAGUGAUGAAGGCCCCAGGGUUGUAAAGCUCUUUUACCCGGGAUGAUAAUGACAGUACCGGGAGAAUAAGCCCCGGCUAACUCCGUGCCAGCCGCCGCGGUAA
Molecule: ribosomal RNA, 449 nt
Filed under: uncultured bacterium
Lineage: Bacteria
Description: partial 16S ribosomal RNA
Rfam family: Bacterial small subunit ribosomal RNA
Source: RNAcentral